RNAcentral lists this ribosomal RNA (256 nucleotides) under uncultured bacterium. RNAcentral describes it as "partial 16S ribosomal RNA". It matches the Rfam family "Bacterial small subunit ribosomal RNA", at positions 793 to 1055 of the family's 1533-position model. The record is from RNAcentral.
GUCCACACGGUAAACGAUGGAUACUCGCUGUUGGCGAUAUACUGUCAGCGGCCAAGUGAAACGUUAAGUAUCCCACCUGGGGAGUACGCCGGCAACGGUGAAACUCAAAGGAAUUGACGGGGCCCGCACAAGCGGAGGAACAUGUGGUUUAAUUCGAUGAUACGCGAGGAACCUUACCCGGGCUUGAACUGCACCCCGAAUUUACCGGAGACGGUAAAGCCGCAAGGCGGGUGUGGAGGUGCUGCAUGGUUGUCGU